AGUCAAUUCUUCACAACCAUUUCUCCAACCCAUACUUUUGUUAUUACAAUAAACGACGCCGUAUUCAUAUCAUCAGUGUCAUCUUCUCUUUCAACAAUAAAAUUGAGAGAGGUUUAUGAGAAUGAAUGAGAUUGGUAAUUAUUGGAUUGGAAGGAAGGAAGGAAGGAAGGUGUUUCUCAAAACGGUACUGCUACUAUGUUCUGGUCAACUUGUCUGCUGAACAUUACAUUAUUAGUAG
Molecule: long non-coding RNA, 238 nt
Filed under: Trifolium pratense (red clover)
Lineage: Eukaryota; Viridiplantae; Streptophyta; Magnoliopsida; Fabales; Fabaceae
Description: long non-coding RNA (TPRA_LNC010419)
Source: RNAcentral